This is a long non-coding RNA of Lepisosteus oculatus (spotted gar), 281 nucleotides long. RefSeq lists it as uncharacterized. The record is from RefSeq and is a predicted model, not a curated record. NCBI's taxonomy places the organism in Eukaryota, Metazoa, Chordata, Actinopteri, Semionotiformes, Lepisosteidae.
UAGAAGACCUCCUGGGAAAAACUAAGGUUGCUGCUGGAAGAGGUGGGCCUGCAGGGAAGUGAAGAUGCACUUCUUUCCUCUUCCUGUCUUUCCAGUGUUGAUUUCUCUGCACUCCCAAGAAGCUCAAGUCUUGUAGCCCAUAGUGAACAAAGUUCUACAUUUCUGCAGGUCUGGAGGGUUCCUGCAUGCUAAGAGUAGUACUUGUGUGGUUAAUUUGUGUUUGAUGAUUGUGUUAGCUACUGAAAUUGAAAUCAAUAAAGUUGAGAUUGUUUUUAAUUGCA